Molecule: ribosomal RNA, 563 nt
Filed under: Lactobacillus gasseri
Lineage: Bacteria; Bacillati; Bacillota; Bacilli; Lactobacillales; Lactobacillaceae
Description: bacterial SSU rRNA
Rfam family: Bacterial small subunit ribosomal RNA
Source: RNAcentral
GGAGCAACGCCGCGUGAGUGAAGAAGGGUUUCGGCUCGUAAAGCUCUGUUGGUAGUGAAGAAAGAUAGAGGCAGUAACUGGCCUUUAUUUGACGGUAAUUACUUAGAAAGUCACGGCUAACUACGUGCCAGCAGCCGCGGUAAUACGUAGGUGGCAAGCGUUGUCCGGAUUUAUUGGGCGUAAAGCGAGUGCAGGCGGUUCAAUAAGUCUGAUGUGAAAGCCUUCGGCUCAACCGGAGAAUUGCAUCAGAAACUGUUGAACUUGAGUGCAGAAGAGGAGAGUGGAACUCCAUGUGUAGCGGUGGAAUGCGUAGAUAUAUGGAAGAACACCAGUGGCGAAGGCGGCUCUCUGGUCUGCAACUGACGCUGGGGCUCGAAAGCAUGGGUAGCGAACAGGAUUAGAUACCCUGGUAGUCCAUGCCGUAAACGAUGAGUGCUAAGUGUUGGGAGGUUUCCGCCUCUCAGUGCUGCAGCUAACGCAUUAAGCACUCCGCCUGGGGAGUACGACCGCAAGGUUGAAACUCAAAGGAAUUGACGGGGGCCCGCACAAGCGGUGGAGCAUGU